CCUACGGGAGGCUGCAGUGGGGAAUAUUGGGCAAUGGGCGCAAGCCUGACCCAGCAACGCCGCGUGAAGGAAGAAGGCUCUCGGGUUGUUAACUUCUUUUUUGAGGGGCGAAAAAAUUAAUGUUACUUCAGGAUUAUGCCACGGCUAACUACGUGCAAGCAGCGGCGGUAAUACGUAGGUGGCAAGCGUUAUCCGGAUCUAGUGGGUGUAAAGGGCGUGUAGGCGGGAAAGCAAGUCAGAUGUGAAAAUUCAGGGCUCAACCCUGAGCCUGCAUUUGAAACUGUUUUUCUUGAGUGCUGGAGAGGCAGUCGGAAUUCGGGGUGUAGCGGUGAAAUGCGUAGAUAUACGGAGGAACACCAGUGGCGAAGGCGGAUUGCUGGACAGUAACGGACGCUGAGGCGCGAAAGCGUGGGGAGCAAACAGGAUUAGAUACCCUGGUAGUC
This 443-nucleotide ribosomal RNA is filed under the name uncultured bacterium. RNAcentral's name for it is "partial 16S ribosomal RNA". It matches the Rfam family "Bacterial small subunit ribosomal RNA", at positions 338 to 795 of the family's 1533-position model. The record is from RNAcentral.